Molecule: transfer RNA, 60 nt
Filed under: Plagiorchis elegans
Lineage: Eukaryota; Metazoa; Platyhelminthes; Trematoda; Plagiorchiida; Plagiorchiidae
Description: tRNA-Leu
Source: RNAcentral
AAGAGUGCCAGAUGUUAUGGGAUGGAUUUAGGAUCCUUUUAAGAUUAUUUUUAUCCUCUU